AGAUCUGAAUGUGCAGUAUGUGAGACUGAUCACAAUGUUACUUCAAGCCUUUGCAUCUCUUCUGAGACCAGAGAGAGAAGCUAAUGUGACUCAUUCCUGAGAAGCUCAAAAUACUCAUAUUUAAAAGUCAGAUGCAGACUUACUACAGCGGUGCAUUCCAGAA
Anas platyrhynchos (mallard) is the source of this 163-nucleotide long non-coding RNA. RefSeq lists it as uncharacterized. Lineage: Eukaryota; Metazoa; Chordata; Aves; Anseriformes; Anatidae. The record is from RefSeq and is a predicted model, not a curated record.